This 459-nucleotide ribosomal RNA is filed under the name uncultured bacterium. Its description in RNAcentral is "partial 16S ribosomal RNA". It matches the Rfam family "Bacterial small subunit ribosomal RNA", at positions 338 to 795 of the family's 1533-position model. The record is from RNAcentral.
CCUACGGGUGGCUGCAGUGAGGAAUAUUGGUCAAUGGGCGGGAGCCUGAACCAGCCAAGCCGCGUGAAGGAAGAAGGCGCCAGGCGUCGUAAACUUCUUUUGUCGGGGAACAAAGGGCGCCACGCGUGGCGUUGUGAGUGUACCCGAAGAAAAAGCAUCGGCUAACUCCGUGCCAGCAGCCGCGGUAAUACGGAGGAUGCGAGCGUUAUCCGGAUUUAUUGGGUUUAAAGGGUGCGUAGGCGGUCCGGAAAGUCAGCGGUAAAAGCCCGGGGCUCAACCCCGGCGAGCCGUUGAAACUGUCGGACUAGAGACGGCGAGAAGUACGCGGAAUGCGCGGUGUAGCGGUGAAAUGCUUAGAUAUCACGAAGAACCCCGAUUGCGAAGGCAGCCUGCCGCAGCGUUACUGACGCUGAAGCUCGAAAGCGCGGGUAUCGAACAGGAUUAGAUACCCGAGUAGUC